RNAcentral lists this ribosomal RNA (484 nucleotides) under uncultured bacterium. Its description in RNAcentral is "partial 16S ribosomal RNA". It matches the Rfam family "Bacterial small subunit ribosomal RNA", at positions 30 to 507 of the family's 1533-position model. The record is from RNAcentral.
AUUGAACGCUGGCGGCAGGCCUAACACAUGCAAGUCGAGCGGAUGAAGGGAGCUUGCUCCUGGAUUCAGCGGCGGACGGGUGUGUAAUGCCUAGGAAUCUGCCUGGUAGUGGGGGAUAACGUCCGGAAACGGGCGCUAAUACCGCAUACGUCCUGAGGGAGAAAGUGGGGGAUCUUCGGACCUCACGCUAUCAGAUGAGCCUAGGUCGGAUUAGCUAGUUGGUGGGGUAAAGGCCUACCAAGGCGACGAUCCGUAACUGGUCUGAGAGGAUGAUCAGUCACACUGGAACUGAGACACGGUCCAGACUCGUACGGGAGGCAGCAGUGGGGAAUAUUGGACAAUGGGCGGAAGCCUGAUCCAGGCAUGGCGCGUGUGUGAAGAAGGUCUUCGGAUUGUGAAGCACUUUAAGUUGGGAGGAAGGGCAGUAAGUUAAUACCUUGCUGUUUUGACGUUACCAAAAGAAUAAGCACCGGCUAACUUCGUG